GAGCCCAACCAUAGCCGAGUGAAAAUUCUGGAUCCCGCCCGAUCUCCGAUUGAAAACCACUUGAGCGCCAGAUUAGUAGUUGGGUCGGUGACAACCAGAACACCGGGUGUUGUACAUU
RNAcentral lists this ribosomal RNA (118 nucleotides) under Cordyceps militaris CM01. The record is from RNAcentral. Lineage: Eukaryota; Fungi; Ascomycota; Sordariomycetes; Hypocreales; Cordycipitaceae.